UUUGCCUUCGGGUGGGGAAUAACAGUCGGAAACGGCUGCUAAUACCGCAUAAUGCAGCGGCAUCAUAAGAUGACAGUUGUUAAAGCGGGGGAUCGUAAGACCUCGCGCCUGAAGAGAAGCCUGCGGCGGAUUAGGUAGUUGGUGAGGUAAUGGCUCACCAAGCCCGCGAUCCGUAACCGGCCUGAGAGGGCGGUCGGUCACACUGACACUGACAUACGGGUCAG
Molecule: ribosomal RNA, 224 nt
Filed under: uncultured bacterium
Lineage: Bacteria
Description: partial 16S ribosomal RNA
Rfam family: Bacterial small subunit ribosomal RNA
Source: RNAcentral